This 253-nucleotide ribosomal RNA is filed under the name uncultured bacterium. RNAcentral describes it as "partial 16S ribosomal RNA". It matches the Rfam family "Bacterial small subunit ribosomal RNA", at positions 524 to 776 of the family's 1533-position model. The record is from RNAcentral.
UACGAAGGGGGCUAGCGUUGCUCGGAAUUACUGGGCGUAAAGGGCGCGUAGGCGGCACUGUUAGUCAGGCGUGAAAGUCCUGGGCUCAACCUGGGAACUGCGCUUGAUACGGCAGAGCUAGAGGAUGGAAGAGGGUCGCGGAAUUCCCAGUGUAGAGGUGAAAUUCGUAGAUAUUGGGAAGAACACCGGUGGCGAAGGCGGCGACCUGGUCCAUUACUGACGCUGAGACGCGAAAGCGUGGGGAGCGAACAGG